UACGGAGGGGGCUAGCGUUGUUCGGAAUUACUGGGCGUAAAGCGCACGUAGGCGGCUUUGUAAGUUUGAGGUGAAAGCCCGGGGCUCAACUCCGGAAUUGCCUUUAAGACUGCAUCGCUAGAAUUGUGGAGAGGUAAGUGGAAUUCCGAGUGUAGAGGUGAAAUUCGUAGAUAUUCGGAAGAACACCAGUGGCGAAGGCGACUUACUGGACACAUAUUGACGCUGAGGUGCGAAAGCGUGGGGAGCAAACAGG
Molecule: ribosomal RNA, 253 nt
Filed under: uncultured bacterium
Lineage: Bacteria
Description: partial 16S ribosomal RNA
Rfam family: Bacterial small subunit ribosomal RNA
Source: RNAcentral